Bos taurus (domestic cattle) is the source of this 1246-nucleotide long non-coding RNA. The record is from Ensembl. Lineage: Eukaryota; Metazoa; Chordata; Mammalia; Artiodactyla; Bovidae.
CCCAAGGCUCAUGGAGAAUGCGCCAGUGAAGUCACAUCUCCUGUCCAAGGAAAGCCUGUAUCCAAUGACAAGGACCCAGCCUACCUUGAACUAGCUUACAGCUCUACCACUUAGCUGCUGGGAAAGCACCAGAAACUGCUCCUCCUUUUUCAAUACAGCUUGGACAACACCAGGAAGAUGCUACUGUUCUGACUCUGGUCCUGUGCCCCAUGCACAAUGGCUGAGGAUGGAAUGAGAUGGCUGGAGUAAGAAAAGGAGGAGAGUCAGCGUGCCCAGCAGAUAAGCCUCAGGUGGCCCUAUGGAAGCAGGGACUCUCCCAGGAGCUCGUGGACCGGAUGUACUGCCCAGAUGCAGGAAAUGAUUCUUCCCGUCAUCGACCUAUGCCUUCCUGGACUGUCCCUUUUAGAGCUUCAUGUUGACGGACUCCUCAGUUUCCUUAUGUGUUGUUUAUUGGCUUUUAUGGGAUUAUUUAAUCUAAACCUUUGGUUGCAGGAGACAGACAUGCUUGAGCUAGCCUGUGAGACAAGAUAUGGUGGCAGGAAGUAUAGCAUAUCACGUGAGACUAACUGGGAAUGUUAAGGUUAUGAGAAAUGAGGCAUUAUCAUCUGACAGCCGAAAGCCACUGUAUUCUCAUUUCUGCAUUUAUCUGUCUGCUCGAUUCUUCCUUUCUGCAAAAUGGCUUUCUCUGCUUCUUUGUAUACCUGCGAAAAGUGGCCCCUCUAAAGCUGAUAGAUUUCUAAGUCCUAGGUUUGAGAGCAGUAACACAUGGCCUGGCUUCUCUGAUUUUUUACUUCCUUAUUUCUGGCAGUGGGUUAGUUUGAAGCCGCUGUCCCCAGAGUCCAAUCAGCUAUGGGCUAGGGACAAAGUUGGACUUCCCAGGUGGCUCAAUGAUAAAGAACCUGCCUGUCAAUGCAGGAGACAUGGGUUCUAUUCCUGGGUCUGGAAGAUCCCCUGGAGAAGGAAAUGGCAGCCCACUCCAGUAUUCUUGCCUGGGACAUCCCACAAACAGAGGGGCCUGGUGGGCUACAGUCUAUGGGGUCUCAGAGAGUUGGACACAACUUAGCAACUAAACAACAAUAACAAGGGCAAAGUCAGGACAUUAUAGGUGACUGACCCUGUGAGCCGUGAUGGUGGUGAUGGGGGUAGGUCCCAGAAGAGGGAAUCAUGGGUUAAGCAGCGUCUGCAUAACUUGACCUUGACUGAUGUGAACUUGUGUGCUUCAUUCAACGUGUGAUCAUUAUGAGUA